This is an RNA transcript of Diabrotica virgifera virgifera (western corn rootworm), 219 nucleotides long. RefSeq lists it as uncharacterized. NCBI's taxonomy places the organism in Eukaryota, Metazoa, Arthropoda, Insecta, Coleoptera, Chrysomelidae. The transcript has 2 exons. The record is from RefSeq and is a predicted model, not a curated record.
CUCGUAUCCUUUCGCCGAUCCUCGAGUCUGCGAAGCAGGCUUAGAAAUAAGAAGAAUUUUAUAUAACUAUCACAUUCACUCCUAAGUUAAGGCACGCUUUGGUUACAUUCAAAAUGACACAUCUGGUUUGGACUUGCACUGUUUUCUUCUGUUUGCUGGCUGUACUCAACUUAGGAGAAUGUAAAGCAUUAGGAAAUGAUAUUGAUACUCAACAAAAGG